CCCGCCGACACGGGGAGAAGUCCUCGAAGGCCUGCCUGGAGCUUCUCCAUGGGCCCGGCCCUGGAGAGCAGGGGUCCGGUGGGGUCGAGGAGGCCGCGCGCAGAGGUCGCCGCCAUUGCGGCGCUUCGCUGGCGGAGGAAGAGUCGCUGUAGGAUCGCGGCUCGGCCGGGCCGGUGCUCCGGCUCCUAGGGUCCGCAGGACGCAGACCGAAGCUGCUCCCGGGGCCCCGGCUCACCCGGCGCAGUCCUGAGGCGGUGGGGGGCCCGGAGGAAGGAGGCCGCAGUGCCUAGCUCGCCACGCUCUCUGCCGGAACUCGUUGACUUUCCCAGCCUUCACCAGGUCUCCUACCAUCCCUCUGCAGAGCAACCCAACACUCUGGUCAGAACCUCGUCAAAAAGCAGAAGCUGUGGGGGCGAAGCUGAAGAGCACAGAGGAAAGAAGAAAAUCUUACUAUGGGGCAUGGAGAGGGAAGCUACGCUUGACCCAGUAGAUGGCGAGAAUGAAAGGGGAAACGAGAGUGAGUGACACACCAAGAAGCCAGUCACCGGCUUCUCACUCUGCUGCUUUGGGUUUCUGAACGUCUCCAGGAAGUCUGCGUUCAAGCCAGCUUUCCAGGCGGCCGGCCGUGCUCCUGGGAGAGGGUAGAAGCUCUGGAAGGCGGGGCCUACCCGGAAGAAGUUGGGCCAGUGGUGACCUACUCUUCAAGGCGUGUUGGAACCCUGGCCCCAGUUCCUCCUUCUCUCACACUCUGCCCAUGAAGUAAACAGCUUGCUUGUGUUCUGCACACCAUGUGCUGCCUGGGCAUAAGCCAACGAGCCCUGGGAAACCAUGAGCCAAACUGAACCUUCUCAUGAGUUCACGUAUCUUACGAGAUAAUGGAAAGCUGACUACUGUGUGCUUACCCGACCAUAACUCAUGAUAACUUCUGUUAUUCACUUUCAACUUGGAUGAUUUCUUCCUCCUCCUCUUUUUGUUUUGACUGCACCUCACUACGUAGCCGCUCCCUGGCCUAGCUUUUGCUUUGUAAACCCAGCUGUCCCUGAAUUCAGAUCGGCUGCCUCUGCCUCUGUCUCUGCUGGGAUCACAAGCAGCACUACUGCUCCUAGGCACUUCUCUAUUCUGUGAAGACUAAAUCUGUGGAGUCUGAAGGGUUUCACAGCAUGGGAUCUAGAAAAACUUCAUCAAAUGUUUCACUCUUAAGUCAGAUUUUUUAAAAAAAAUAAACUCAAUCAUGGUUUAGCCAAGUAGAAAUUUGUUUUCCUCCAUUCUGAAGCAGCUUUUCCAGGCUUGAUGUAAAUAUUCCAGGACGCAGUAAAGUCUCAAUUUUCCUUUAGUACUUUACUUAGCACAGGUUCUGACAGGGUAGUCAGAUAGCUGCUCUAUUUUUAGAAGAGUUGCCUUCCUUCCCAGCAAGGAUAAAGAAUGGAGGUCGGAUAUAUGUGUGAAGCCAGUCAGAACCUUUCCCCAGGGAGACAGCAGGAUCUCACAAGACCUACACAGCAAACAUACUCCUUAAUCUCACUGAUCACAGAGGGCCACGUAGAGGUUACAUCUUAAAGUAGGUAUUUUCCACAGGAACCAUGGAGGAAAUAAGGAGAAGCCUCACUGCAGAUUAUCAGUCCCUGCUCACAAUGCUUUAGCGUGUUGGCCUUCUGUUGUAAGUGGGCAAGCUCUUUUCUCUCCCAGACUGUUUAGUUUGCAGUCAUCUCAGAUGGACUGUUCUUGUCCAGUGGCUAGCAGCUUAUGUCUCCAUCUCUGCUCAACUGUGAACAGCUCAGGAGAGCUUUGUCACAAUGGAAAGCGACUACUCUCUCCACCAGUAACUCUCGCCCACACGAGAUUGUUUAUUCCCACACCCCACCCGUUCUCCUCCUCCUGCCCUUCCUUUCUCCUUUCUGUUCUGAUUCUCUUGCCUCAGGAGUCUAGGAUGAAAUUACUACCCACAAAUCCUAGGGACUUUGUGCAUGGUAAGCACUCUAAGAACUUAGCUACAUCCCCAAUCACUGAACACUCCCCUGGCCUGAUGUUAUUAGCUGCUUCUUAUUCAUGUCCCUCUACAAGAAAGCAGCCCUUUGGGAAACAGGUUCUCUCUAUAGCUCUGGCUGUCCUGGAACUCCCCAUGAAGACCAGGCUGGCUUCACACUUUCAGAGAUCCAUCUGCCGCUGUCUCUUGACCUCUUGAGUGCUAGAAUUAAAG
Molecule: long non-coding RNA, 2197 nt
Organism: Mesocricetus auratus (golden hamster)
Lineage: Eukaryota; Metazoa; Chordata; Mammalia; Rodentia; Cricetidae
Exons: 3
Source: RefSeq, a predicted model, not a curated record